RNAcentral lists this ribosomal RNA (376 nucleotides) under uncultured bacterium. Its description in RNAcentral is "bacterial SSU rRNA". It matches the Rfam family "Bacterial small subunit ribosomal RNA", at positions 523 to 898 of the family's 1533-position model. The record is from RNAcentral.
AUACGGAGGGUGCAAGCGUUAAUCGGAAUUACUGGGCGUAAAGCGUGCGUAGGCGGCUCGUUAAGUCAGAUGUGAAAGCCCUGGGCUCAACCUGGGAACUGCAUUUGAAACUGGCGAGCUAGAGUUUGAGAGAGGUAAGUGGAAUUUCAGGUGUAGCGGUGAAAUGCGUAGAGAUCUGAAGGAACACCAGUGGCGAAGGCGACUUACUGGCUUAAAACUGACGCUGAGGUACGAAAGCGUGGGUAGCAAACAGGAUUAGAUACCCUGGUAGUCCACGCCGUAAACGAUGUCAACUAGCCGUUGGCUCUCUUCGAGAGUUAGUGGCGCAGCUAACGCAUUAAGUUGACCGCCUGGGGAGUACGGCCGCAAGGUUAAA